UGACUGCUGGUAUGCAGGGAAGAAGGCACAUCCUGGCUGCUGGUACAUAGGGAGGAAGGCACAUCAUGAUCACUGGCAACUCACGUGCACACAUUCUGGCCACAGAUCAUAGUUACCACAUCAUCACUUUCUGUCUUAGAGAUUCUCUGUUGUCUUUCACAGUGCCAUCUUGUUUUGGUCCCCAACAUGGAGGAGAGGAUACCAAGCAACCACCGCAGAGCGGCAACUGCUGUGGCAAAAUGGUCCAUGAAACUGAGAAUCUGAAACUGCAGUGACACAACACGAACGCAGCUGGCUUAAGCAGCGAGAUCGUCAGACUCAUCCAGCCACUUGGGACUUCCAUUGUAGCCUCCUCUACCAACUCCUCGCAAAUGGGAACCAGCUGGGAAGUUUCAGGCCGUAGGAUCCCACUUGCCUUGUCGGACUGGCAAUACUUUUCCGUUGAACAGACAGAACAACUUACAUCCAGUCCUGGGCCCUUUUUACUAUUCCGUAACAUGCACCUUAUGAGAUAGAAGUUUUCAUCUGAAACUAGUAAAAUGACAUGGUUUGGAUGUCUGAUCUAACUCAUGAAGGAAACUUCAUAUUAAAACCUGAACCUACUUUAUCAUAUUAAAACUUGAAAUGUCAGAUGAUUUUUAAAAUUCUAACUGCAGAACUGUGUUGCUAGACCACCACUCUACGGUUCCAUGGAGGAUGCUGUGUACAAAAUAUUAACUGAUGGAUGGUUUGAUGAAGAACAUUCCUAACAUUUGUGUGUUAUGAUGACUGCCAUGAAUUUCACAACUAGAACAGAAAGCUAUUGAAGAUAACUAAAAUUCAGCAUUACAUUUGGAAACAAAUAUUGUACCACUACACAAAUAACUGUAAAAAUACAGAUUCUUGUAAAUGCUUUGGAGUAUAUUGAAAAAUCACUAUCGUGCUAAGAACAAGGAAGGAGGCGAGCAGUCUGCUGUUUCCACCACUCCCCUCUGCCUUUACCAAACACAAAAUUAUGCUUUGGAUGCAUUUAUCCUCUGGGUGUUCACCUCUCCAAAAGUAAGUCUGAGAACAGGAUGUUACAGAGAACAGUAGUUUCUCAUCCUGUGAAAACCCUUAUGCUGCGUGAAAAUUCCUAGGUACUCUAAACCAACAAAAUAGUUGAUUUCUCUAUGUAAUGUAAGCUCAAUUUUUGGUAGAAGUAAAUCCACUCACCUAGAAAAUGCUGUGUAUUUUGUAAACCGUUAAAUAGUAUAUCAAGCAGCUUGUUUAAACACAGGAUGGCAGGGGUGGCAGGAAUGUAAUUUUCUAUUUAAUUCUAUUUGAUUAGGAGAGUUACACAGCCUGUCAUUUAGCUUCUAGGACAGCCAUAAAAUGUCUUUGCCUUCCACUGAUUUGCUUGCGAGGCCUACAGGCAUCAGGCUUGUUUCUGCUUAACAUUUGAGCUCAAGGUUGCCAAUUAAUAGGUAAUGAUAAGAACUGAUCCACUGCAUUUAAUAGAUGUGACAAAAUCAGGUAGAAGUACUAGGAAGAUAACUUGAUAUAUGGAGAAGUAAUCAUAUUUUAAUAUCUAGUAGCUGCAGAUGUUCAGAUUACUGUAAUGCUAUUAAAAUGAGUAUCUAUUAAUACACAGAUAUUUCAGUGACACACAGAAACAAAGCCGAACAAAACCUGAAAUAAAAACAAAACUAAAUUUGCCUGUUUAUUGGAAUUAGCCUUCAAUCACUUAUUCAGUUCUAAUAGACAAAUGACUGUACAUCUGAAAAGAUGAUGCUCUCACCCUCUUCUUCCUCCCAUGGUUCACAGAUUGC
Molecule: long non-coding RNA, 1790 nt
Organism: Dromaius novaehollandiae (emu)
Lineage: Eukaryota; Metazoa; Chordata; Aves; Casuariiformes; Dromaiidae
Exons: 5
Source: RefSeq, a predicted model, not a curated record